UGUUCUAUGGCUUAGUUGGAUAAAGCGUCGGUCUAGGGAAUACAGAGUCGUGGGUUCAAAUCCCACCAAAACUC
Non-coding RNA from Aedes albopictus (Asian tiger mosquito), 74 nucleotides. The record is from Rfam. NCBI's taxonomy places the organism in Eukaryota, Metazoa, Arthropoda, Insecta, Diptera, Culicidae.